AGUUUGUACUGGAAACCAAAGCUCAUGAAAAAUAGCCUCCUGAUAGGAUAGUCGUGCUGAUCCUUCCUCCUUGGUGCUGCUUUUCCCUUUUCAAACUUUAGAUCACUUAUAAUAUUAUUAAUCACUGCUUCACUUCAAAUUAUGCCAUCUGAUGCAUUAAGAGGCCAAAAACACAGCUUUCUGCUGUGGAGCCAGCAGACUGUGUGUUUACCUGAGCGUCCACGCGGUAACAUGUUGGUAACAUUACUUUUCAGCUGAUGAUCAGAGCUUUCAUAUGUAGGAGGGCGAAAUAACGUUCAUAUCGCUGGAAUGAAUGGAAUGAGUUUGUUGUGAUGGGAAGAGAUUUACUCAUCGUUUGUGACUCAGUCCUCGAAGCAAAGGGGCGUGUGUGUGUGUGUGUGUGUGUGUGUGAAGCCUUUUAAGGCUAUUGAUGUUCUUGUCAUUACUCUGAGCUUCACUGAGACAUAUCACUGUUGCUGGGUUUGCUGUAUAAAAAUAAAUCGUUAGCCGAUUAAAGUCGAGACUUUCCUCUUGGUAGAGAGAAAAUGGAUGAUUCUGCUUCUGCCCAUCCUCUGGGAUACACACCAUUUCAUCAGCAGGUGUGUGUGAGGUGAGUAAACAGGAGUCACUCACAUGACCAGCGUUCAGCACCUGGGGAACGUGUGAGCCUGGCUGUGUUGUUGUGUAACCAUAGACAGACUGAACGUCUUUCGCGCAGGCUGAGUCUUGUCCCUCCAAGCAGACGGUAAUCGGUUUAGCAGUGAUUACAUUUUGAUGCCAUAUGUCGUCUGGAUUUCUGGCAGAAAAAAAAUUUCAGAGAUUAAUUUGCAAGAAAAUCACAUUACAAAAAGGUUUGGUCCUGUUUGGCACUCUACACCCGGGCGCUCGCUGUGUGAGAAAACUGCCUGCAGACAACAAUGGCAUUUUUAUCAUCGCUGCCAAUCGACAUGCUUCAGCAGUCGUGACGAGGCCUGAUGCGGGCCUGACGCAGUCGUGGGUGGUGAAGACUGGACCGAAACAACUGGUUUGAAAAUGUGCUUUUAACAGUGUGCAGCUUGUUCAUGCUGAACAUUUGCACUGGUAAAACUAAAUAAAU
This 1096-nucleotide long non-coding RNA is filed under the name Oreochromis niloticus (Nile tilapia). RNAcentral's name for it is "lncRNA (ENSONIG00000027182.1)". The record is from RNAcentral. Lineage: Eukaryota; Metazoa; Chordata; Actinopteri; Cichliformes; Cichlidae.